AAUUAUGUAGUUUAUAUAGAACAUUAAAUUGCAAAUUUAAAGGAAAAAGAAAUAUUUUCAUGAUUU
This 66-nucleotide transfer RNA is filed under the name Sternochetus mangiferae. Its description in RNAcentral is "tRNA-Cys". The record is from RNAcentral. Lineage: Eukaryota; Metazoa; Arthropoda; Insecta; Coleoptera; Curculionidae.